UCAGUGGCGCUGGUAUUGCACAAUCACCAAAUUUAGAAAGAAUAUCCUUGGGGACGUAUUGCACCAUUUUCUUUCAAAAUAACUUGAAAUGUUGUUUUCUCCAAAAUAAGAAAAACGCAACAGUGUAGCACUCGGGAUUCCCCUAAGGUUUUUUAAAAAAAGGAUAAAUGCGACGUUUUCCAGUCUGAGCGAACCCCGUGCGCACGCAUCGCCGACGGCACUCAAAAUAUCCAUUCUCUAAACGGACUUGCAGAUGUUUUUGCCCAGUUGUAGGCUAUAUGACCACGGCAACACCAAGAGCUGAAAGGAUUAGAUAUAUUGUGUUGCGUCCUUGUGCUGGGACCUCCCCAAAAUGGACUUCUGCUAAGUGGUAACCUGGUUAUUUUGAGCGCGUCACUUCGUCUUGUCUCCAAGUUAUAGGUUCCCAUUGCCAAGGUUGGGCGCAGCACUUAACUGAUAUUGUUAUAGGCUACUUAUUGAUGGAGUAGACAUCGAUAGAAAUCGGCACACUUUUGACAACACAACGAAAGAAAGUUUGACACAUUCCUGUGGUUUCUUUCUUAUCCGAAUGAUAAAUUUAUUUGGCCUACAUAAUAAUGUCAUAAAAUUCGCAUAUUAUAGCCUAAUAGGCAUAUAGUGGCCGUUAUUAAGAAACAUCUUAGAAUUUAUGUAAGCUUGGCACUAGGCAAUAUUAAGAUUUUAGAUGAUUAUUAUAUUGGCCCGUCAUUUCUCUUGCGCUCCUACUUCUUUUGGUGGUGUGGUGCGACUCCACGUGGCAACAAAUUGAGGAUUAUUGUAGUAACGAGAACGAAUAAACCCAAAGAGCACGCCCUACUCUCUGUGCGUAAUGACGCACUUGCGCAGGAGCAAUGUCACAGUCGCAACACCGAGACAGCGCCACCGAUUUAUUCUAAACUGAAUAAUAAUUGUUAUAAACCACAGAUACGGAUGUUCAUCCUUAUUCCAACAACGAUUUGCAUAACAUUUCCAAUCCCUUGUGAGGGUCGUGUAGUGGGGCCCGUGAGAGGCGGAUGAGGCUGGGGUCCAGCUUCAGCGGCGCCCUGCAGCCUCCCAAUGGUCUCCCCCACUAUGAAGGCACUGGUGGACGCUGUGUGGGCGGUGUGGAGCAUCGGUGCCUCCGUCUAUGACUACAUCCACACCAGCGCCAUGGAGGAGCGCAUCCACACGCUGGAGACCGUCAUCACCAUUCACCAGUGUGUCAUCGCAGCGCUGACCGCUGGAGUGGUGGUGCUCUUCACCUACAUACUGUUGAGGAAGCACUGAGGGGGAGUGAGGAAGGAGAAGCCACGCAGGGCCCAGGAGGCUAGUUUUGAGGACAACACAGGACUACCAGAGUGAUCAGAAGCAUUGAGAGUGUGGGUCUGGAAAGUCAUCCAGAGCCCCGGAGAGGCCUACCGGCCUACAUGGAUUAGAUUGAGGAGGACUUGAUUAAUAAGGGAUUUUGGCUACUAGAAAAGUUUUUGGCUAUUUGGCCUUUAUUUCGGCUGCCAAUUGUACCAUUCUACUGCGGGGGUGUUGCUGGACACUGUGUCUCAGGGAGUCAAUGGUUUCACUCACUUUGCACCCAUGGAAGAUGAAGACAUGGGCAGAGAUGGGCAAAAGAUGCAUGAAAAUGUAUCUUUUUACAAAUACAAGUUACUUUAAAGACCAAUGUAUCAAACUAAAAUACAAAAUACUUUUGUGAAGAAUUGUAUUUAGAAUGAUUAAUUCUUUAAUACAAAAUACAUUUGCAAGUACAUGCCUUCACUACAACAAUAUUCUUAGUAACAGAAACAAAAAAACAUUUAACUUGCUAUGACUGUAAUAUGUGGUUGUUUAUCUAUCUUGUUUAUCUACCUUGGUUGAAUAAGUCACUGUGGAUAAAUGUCUGCUAAAUGACCUAAAUGUAAAAAUGUAAUAAUUGCAAAGCACACUUGGUAUUAUUAUUGGCCUUAUUUUGUGGGCGGAGCUCAUCAAUAAUACCCAGCAUGCUUUGCAGGUGUACAUUUGUACAUUUACAUGUUGUUCAUUCAGCAGACACUCAUAUCACACCAUAGUGCCGUGACUUCUGAUACCAAUGCAGGGUGAAAGGGGGCCUCCAAAUGUUGAACCGCUAUAAAAUAAAAAGGAUAUAGAAAAAGUAUUUUGAAAAUAUAAAUGACAGGUCUCAAGUAUGUUACAAACUACAUUGGAUUGUAGUUCAGGCCAGUGAAAUACAAAUGACAAAAUACUCAAAAGCAAAUGAAAUAUGAAUUUCAAUGACAUGUAACAGGAAUACUGCCCAUCUCUGGAUGUGGGGAUGCUAAAACCACAGAGACGACUCAACCUGCAGACUGUAAUCUAAUAACGCACUAAAGGGAUGCUAACUAUCAUUAGGUUUGACUGCCUUAAUAUGCCUCAAGUGGUUUCACUCCCCAGAUGGAAUAACAUUAUUAGUUAGUUAGGUUUUCAUGUUGGCUCUAAUUGCUUAUCCCGCCUGUAUGAUGCAUUGGAAAACUGGAAACUCCCUCUUCAAAACCAUGAUUGUACUAGGUGCCAGCCCAACAGUCUAUACAGGUCUAUAAUUGUAAGUCUUGGUCAUGAAGAUGAAAGUGUUCACUAUUAUAUCACCCAGUGAGGGAGAGUGGAAUAUCAUGGGACGGGCUGAAUGUAUUCUCAAAAGGCCUUAUUUGUUGUAGAAAACUGGCCUCAAGGUUCUCCUGUGAAUUCCUCUGUAGAAGGAGUUUCUGUGAAGCACUCAAAGGUCAAUACACUGGUCGCCAUGAAUGCCAUUUAGUACAGUACAUGUUCUUUGAUAAAACUCCUUUAAAGCAUGUUUAUUUGAUUGCUAAAAUAAGUAAUUGUAGAUAGUCUUGUAAUGCAAGACUUUGUAGUGGCAUUUCAUGGCGUUAGUUGAACAUGGCUAUAGCUGUGAAGGUUAUGUCACUGGAAAGAGUAUUUAGAAGCCUCCUUACCUGUAAAAUAUGAAUCAACCUGAAUGUUUUGGUACAUUGUUUAUAAAUGUUUCAGUAAUGACCACUCUUAACAUUUAAAAGGGUAUAAAACACAUUGUAGGACUUAAAAUAUUUAUGGCAGUUUAAGUGCUCUAUAAUGUUCUAUAAUUAAUUUAAAUUGUUCACUUGCUACAAUAUGACAAAUACACAAUGUUUGCCCUAUCAUCUUGUUCAGAUUGCCAAAAUGGGCCUCAAUGGAAUGUUUCAGGUAAAUCAAAUGUGACUUACAGGUGACAAACGGCCUCCAUGGCAACAAAACAUUUAAUCACCUCCUGGAUCUUUAUGUGAAUGUACAGUGCCUUUAGAAAGUAUUCAGACCCCUUGACUUUUUCCACAUUUUGUUAAGUUACAGCCUUAUUCUAAAAUGGAUUAAAUAAAAACAUUUCCUCAGCAAUCUACUCACAAUACCCAAUAAUGACAAAGCAAAAACAAGUUCAUACAUUUUUUUGCUAAUAAAAAAAAGAUCUGUAAAUAUGGUUUCUGUUUUUCAUGACUAUUCAGACCAUUUGCUAUGAGACUCGAAAUUGAGCUCAGGGGCCUCCCGGGUGGCGCAGUGUUCUAAGGCACUGCAUCGCAGUGCCACCAGAGACUCCGGGUUCGAGCCCAGGCUCUGUCGCAUCCGGCUGCGACCGGGAGGUCCAUGAGGCGACGCACAAUUGGCCUAGCGUCGUCCGGGUUAGGGAGGCUUCGGCCGGUAGGGAUAUCCUUCUCUCAUCGCGCACUAGUGACUCCUGUGGCGGGCCGGGCACAGUGCAGGCUGACCAGGUCGCUAGGUGUUUCCUCCGACACAUUGGUGCGGCUGGGUUGGUUGUUAAGAAGCAGUGCGGCUUCUCGACCUUCGUCUCUCCCAAGCCCGUACUGGAGUUGUAGCGAUGAGACAAGACACUACUAACAAUUGGAUAUCACGAAAUUGGGGAGAAAAAGGAGAAAAAGGGGUUACAAAUAAUAAAGAAAAGAAAUUGAGUUCAGGUGCAUCCUGUUUCCAUUGAUAAUCCUUGAUGUUUCUACAACUUGAUUGGAGUCCACCUGUGGGGCCUCCCGGGUGGACAUGAUUUGGAAAGGCACACACCUGUCUAAAUGAGAUCCCACAGUUGACAGUGCAUGUCAGACCAAAAACCAAGCCAUGAGCUCAAAAUAAUUGUUCGUAGAGCUCCGAGACAGGAUUGUAUCGAGGCACAGAUCUGGGGAAGGGUACCAAAACAAUUCUGCAGCAUAGAAGUUCAAGGUAACACAGUCGCCUCAAUCAUUCUUAAAUGGAUGAAGUCAGAGGGGUGACCAAGAACCCGAUGGUCACUCUGACAGAGCUUCAGAGUUCCCCUGUGGAGGAACAGCACCACAGCACCACCAUCAGGCCUUUAUGGUAGAGUGGCCAGACGGAAGCCGCCACUCAGUAAAAAAACUCGCUUGGAGUUUGCCAAAUGGCACCCAAAAACUGGGAGAAACUCCCCAAAUACAGGUGUGCCAAGCUUGUAGCGUCAUACCCAAGAAGACUUGAGGCAGUAAUCGCUGCCAAUCGUUCAACAAUGUACUGAGUAAAGGGUCUGAAUACUUAUGUAAGUGACAUUUCACUUUUAUUUUGAAUAAAAUAGCAACAAUUUCUGAAAACCUGUUUUUGAUUUGUCAUUAUGGGGUAGGGUGUAGAUUGAGGGGGUAAAACUAUUUACAUUUUAGAAUAAGGCUGUAACCUAACAAAAUGUGGGAAAAGUCAAGGGGUCUGAAUAGUUUCCAAAGGCACUGUAAUGGUACGAAGGAUCAGAAGAGUGCAAUGUUCUGACUGCAGAUAAGUCUUGUGUAGAGCUAAAUCUGUUUACUCUGUAAUCAAGAAAAGGUUUCACAAAGCACUGGUUGGUGAUUGGACAUACUGCCAUCCCUACGCUCCAAUCUGAGUAAGCAAGUCGGGGGUCGUUCAGGGACAGGGUCAUAAUACUCACAUGUAUGUAAGUAGUCAUGUGACGCACUGGUUAUUAAAACAGAAUAACAAUAAUCCCAUGUGCUACAAUGUGAUAUUGACGUACAGACAGAACACUGUAGAAACACCCUGACCAAGGAGACUAUUCAUGGUUUUAUUUCAAGUUAACAGUGACAAAGUUAAUGUUUUGUAAAUACAUAAUGUCAUUCUUACUGAUGUGUACAUUAACAUAACUAUCUUCAAAAUGAAAUGAUUCAAGUUGUAAACUUGCAUGAAACACCAUGUCGUAUACAAAAUGCAAGGAAAUGUAAAGUACAAAUUUAACUUGUCAUAUAAAAACAGAACAGUUUGUUAACCCUGUCUCUAUGUAGUUGCCCUUAACCACAGAUCUACCUUAACCAUUAGGUUGAUCAAAUAUAUCUGACUCUGUAUCAGUGGUUAGAUCAACUUCUACCUACUCAUCCGAACUGCAGUAAGCAGUUUCCUACAACACUGUUGGACCAGCGGGGGGGGUCAGGUGUGUUCUAGAUGUGUCCAGUCUGCAGCAGGGUGUACUGGGCAGUGAAUCUCUCCACACUCUCCCCCUCCAGCAUCUUCAUGGCUCUCCAGUGGAUCAUCCCACAGUUUUCUGGCUGGCCGCUGGGCCCAAGCUCCUCUCGGAUGUACUCCAGCCACAGAUCUGGAGGGAAAAAGCCAUACAGACAGUCCUGAGUGACCAUCUCAACUUACUUUAUCCCAGAAAACUACAUGGAAGUAAAGGUUUAUAUGCAUGCCAUACUAAAACACCUCAAUCAGCUAAUCAAAGUUUCUGUUGAAUCAGGUGUGUUAAUGUUGGGCUGGAAUAAAAGCCUGCAAACUCUGUAGUUCCAA
This is a long non-coding RNA of Oncorhynchus nerka (sockeye salmon), 5772 nucleotides long. RefSeq lists it as uncharacterized. The transcript is spliced from 2 exons. The record is from RefSeq and is a predicted model, not a curated record. NCBI's taxonomy places the organism in Eukaryota, Metazoa, Chordata, Actinopteri, Salmoniformes, Salmonidae.